UGGGGAAUCUUGCGCAAUGGAGGAAACUCUGACGCAGCCAUGCCGCGUGAGUGAUGAAGGCCUUCGGGUUGUAAAGCUCUGUCUAAGGGGAAAAAUGAUGCGAUGUCGAAUAGGCAUGGCAAGUGAUGGUACCCUUAAAGAAGCAUCGGCUAACUCCGUGCCAGCAGCCGCGGUAAUACGGAGGAUGCGAGCGUUAUCCGGAUUUAUUGGGUUUAAAGGGUGCGCAGGCGGCGCGCCAAGUCAGCGGUCAAAGUUCCGGGCUCAACCCGGUGUCGCCGUUGAAACUGGCGUGCUCGAGUGCGUGCGAGGAAGGCGGAAUGCGUUGUGUAGCGGUGAAAUGCAUAGAUAUGACGCAGAACUCCG
Molecule: ribosomal RNA, 363 nt
Filed under: uncultured Porphyromonadaceae bacterium
Lineage: Bacteria; Pseudomonadati; Bacteroidota; Bacteroidia; Bacteroidales; Porphyromonadaceae
Description: bacterial SSU rRNA
Rfam family: Bacterial small subunit ribosomal RNA
Source: RNAcentral